GCCGGAGUGGGGGAACGGCAGACCCGGGGGACUUAAAAUCCCCUGCUCGUAAGGGCGUGCGGGUUCGAAUCCCGCCUCCGGCACCA
This 86-nucleotide transfer RNA is filed under the name Bacillota bacterium. RNAcentral's name for it is "Firmicutes bacterium (anaerobic digester metagenome) tRNA-Leu". It matches the Rfam family "tRNA". Rfam says of the family: Transfer RNA (tRNA) molecules are approximately 80 nucleotides in length. Their secondary structure includes four short double-helical elements and three loops (D, anti-codon, and T loops). Lineage: Bacteria; Bacillati; Bacillota. The record is from RNAcentral. RNAcentral also lists the same sequence under 1 other name.